This 342-nucleotide long non-coding RNA is filed under the name Elaeis guineensis (African oil palm). RNAcentral's name for it is "long non-coding RNA (EGUI_LNC021789)". Lineage: Eukaryota; Viridiplantae; Streptophyta; Magnoliopsida; Arecales; Arecaceae. The record is from RNAcentral.
UACUGUUCUCAAACUCCAGUUGACUUAAGCAUCAGAGAAUCUCUAUCGAAGAAUCCCGACAUAUGUGGACUUCUUUUAUAGAUCCUUGUUGGUGUCCCAACGUUCAGACUAUCCUCCAUCUUUAGCCAUGUUAACUGCUACCAAAAUCUUGAUGCAACAAAUAUUAUAUACAAAUAGCAGUGACAAUUAUAAGUAAAAAGAAAAUAAAUCAAAAAACUAGAUCAAUUAUAGAAUGUUUACAAAGAUUUAGGGUAAGCUUUUAUUAAAUACCUCUUGUGAUAAAUUCUAAUUAAUUGUCCAACGGAAGUAGACCAUCAUCUUUGAAUUCUCCCUACAGUGGUU